RNAcentral lists this ribosomal RNA (270 nucleotides) under uncultured bacterium. RNAcentral's name for it is "partial 16S ribosomal RNA". It matches the Rfam family "Bacterial small subunit ribosomal RNA", at positions 85 to 354 of the family's 1533-position model. The record is from RNAcentral.
CCGCCGGCGACCGGCGCACGGGUGAGUAACACGUAUGCAACCUGCCCCUGUCAGGGGGACAACCCGCCGAAAGGCGGGCUAAACCCGCGUACAUGCCACCGGGGCAUCCCGGAGGCAGGAAAGGCUUCGGCCGGACAGGGAUGGGCAUGCGGCGCAUUAGGCAGUAGGCGGGGUAACGGCCCACCUAACCGACGAUGCGCAGGGGUUCUGAGAGGAAGGUCCCCCACACUGGUACUGAGACACGGACCAGACUCCUACGGGAGGCAGCAG